UCGAGAAUCUUCGGCAAUGGGCGCAAGCCUGACCGAGCGACGCCGCGUGUGGGAUGAAGGCCUUCGGGUCGUAAACCACUGUCAGAGGGGAUGAAAUGCAGGUGGGUUCUCCCAUCUGUUUGACAUAGCCUCAGAGGAAGGACGGGCUAAGUUCGUGCCAGCAGCCGCGGUAAGACGAACCGUCCAAACGUUAUUCGGAAUUACUGGGCUUAAAGGGUGCGUAGGCGGCGCGGAAAGUUGGGUGUGAAAUCCCUCGGCUCAACCGAGGAACUGCGCCCAAUACUACCGUGCUUGAGGGAGAUAGAGGUGAGUGGAACUUAGGGUGGAGCGGUGAAAUGCGUUGAUAUCCUAAGGAACACCGGUGGCGAAAGCGGCUCACUGGAUCUCUUCUGACGCUGAGGCACGAAAGCUAGGGUAGCGAACGGGAUUAGAUACCCGUGUAGUCCCUGAGCGGGCUGGCAAGGCGCAU
RNAcentral lists this ribosomal RNA (469 nucleotides) under uncultured bacterium. RNAcentral describes it as "bacterial SSU rRNA". It matches the Rfam family "Bacterial small subunit ribosomal RNA", at positions 355 to 825 of the family's 1533-position model. The record is from RNAcentral.